RNAcentral lists this ribosomal RNA (285 nucleotides) under Triticum aestivum (bread wheat). Its description in RNAcentral is "partial small subunit ribosomal RNA". Lineage: Eukaryota; Viridiplantae; Streptophyta; Magnoliopsida; Poales; Poaceae. The record is from RNAcentral.
AUGUUGCAAGUCACUUUUGCCAAGUAUAUUUUACUAUGCAAGUCACUUUUUGGGUAUAAAGAAGCUUGGAUUGUUGUAGUUGAUGAGUGGUGCAGUGAAGAGUGGAUUGCAAAAUCCAAGAAAUACCGUGCCAAUCGUUUCAGCUCAAAGUUCAAGCCUCACAAAGGUGGUUCCAACUCCAUGACUACUAUAAGUCAAAAAAUGGCCGAGGAAACCGGGAAGAAGUUAACCAGAUUCAGGCUUGGGUGCAUACACACAGAGGAGUGGACAAGAGCACACCUUUAA